AGCUCGUAGUUGAAUUUNUGGUGGAGUCGGUCUGUCCUUCACUUGGUGUUGGUUCGUGACUGCAUCUCUGCCCUCCUUGGUCGGAGCCAGUUUGGCAUUUAGUUGUCGGGCUGGGGACGAUCAUCGUUUACUGUGAAGAAAUUAGAGUGUUCAAAGCAGGCUUAGGCCUUGAAUACAUUAGCAUGGAAUAAUGAAAUAGGGUUUUGGCACUAUUUUGUUGGUUUGCGCGCCGAAACAAUGAUUAAUAGGGACAGUUUGGGGAUAUUCGUAUUCAAUUGUCAGAGGUGAAAUUCUUGGAUUUCUGGAAGACGAACGACUGCGAAAGCAUUUAUCAAGGAUGUUUUCAUUAAUCAAGAACGAAAGUUAGGGGAUCGAAGAUGAUUAGAUACCAUCGUAGUCUUAACCAUAAACCAUGCCGACUAGGGAUUUGCGGUGUCUUGAGACUCCGAAGCNCCUUAUG
Molecule: ribosomal RNA, 460 nt
Filed under: uncultured eukaryote
Lineage: Eukaryota
Description: SSU rRNA
Rfam family: Eukaryotic small subunit ribosomal RNA
Source: RNAcentral